AGUGAACGCUGGCGGUAGGCCUAACACAUGCCAGUCGAACGGCAGCACAGUAAGAGCUUGCUCUUACGGGUGGCGAGUGGCGGACGGGUGAGGAAUACAUCGGAAUCUACUUUUUCGUGGGGGAUAACGUAGGGAAACUUACGCUAAUACCGCAUACGACCUACGGGUGAAAGCAGGGGAUCUUCGGACCUUGCGCGAUUGAAUGAGCCGAUGUCGGAUUAGCUAGUUGGCGGGGUAAAGGCCCACCAAGGCGACGAUCCGUAGCUGGUCUGAGAGGAUGAUCAGCCACACUGGAACUGAGACACGGUCCAGACUCCUACGGGAGGCAGCAGUGGGGAAUAUUGGACAAUGGGCGCAAGCCUGAUCCAGCCAUACCGCGUGGGUGAAGAAGGCCUUCGGGUUGUAAAGCCCUUUUGUUGGGAAAGAAAAGCGGCAGGUUAAUACCCCGCUGUUCUGACGGUACCCAAAGAAUAAGCACCGGCUAACUUCGUG
This 492-nucleotide ribosomal RNA is filed under the name uncultured bacterium. Its description in RNAcentral is "partial 16S ribosomal RNA". It matches the Rfam family "Bacterial small subunit ribosomal RNA", at positions 29 to 507 of the family's 1533-position model. The record is from RNAcentral.